GGCCUUAUAUUCAACAUUGAUUCUGGAUUGCAAAUCUAGAGGUGGAGUGAUAGCUCCUAAGGCUU
This 65-nucleotide transfer RNA is filed under the name Labidostomis lusitanica. Its description in RNAcentral is "tRNA-Cys". The record is from RNAcentral. Lineage: Eukaryota; Metazoa; Arthropoda; Insecta; Coleoptera; Chrysomelidae.